RNAcentral lists this long non-coding RNA (3359 nucleotides) under Gallus gallus (chicken). The record is from RNAcentral. Lineage: Eukaryota; Metazoa; Chordata; Aves; Galliformes; Phasianidae.
AUCACAUCUUUGUGUUGUUGGAAGUUGCAAGAACUUUUCUGAUAGAUUUCAGCAGAACUAAGAAUUACUUGAUUCUAUUGUUGACUUGAUCUCUGCUUUUUGAAACUUUGGACCAGUCUGCGGGUGAGAUGAGUCUUCUGCUUAUUAACACAAGUAUGAAAAAUAGCUCAUGUUCAAGAUCACAGCAUGCAUAGGAGUCCAAACCAUCUUGAGAUAUUGGACAAAGGAAUUAGAGGUCAGCUGGGCAGAAAAAUGUCAGUGUCUUAUGUCUACGCUGGAUAGAAGAAGAAUUAAGAGACUUAUUGAUUCGAGGAAGAUUUAGACCAGUCACUGAGGAGGAACUAGCAGGAAGAGAUUUUCAAGGCAGGUCCUUGGGCUGUGUGUGGCAAUUGGGCACGUACCUGUUGGAAAUGCUUCAGGCAGAGUGACGUGGGUUGGCAUGUUACCUGAGCAGAGGACUCUAAACUGAGCACACUGUGCUGCUUUCGAGAGGGGCCAAAAGUCUGGAAGAAAGAUAAGCCUUGAGUUUACUUAAUACAUUCAAAUUAACUGGAAAAAAUGUUCCUAUUUAGUAACUGUAUUUGCACAAUGUCUUAAAAUGUAAACUCCUGUGAAACAUGCAUGAAAGGGUAUGAAGAAGUUAGACUAGCUACAUAUACUCAAGAAAAACACGUGUAAGUCCUGACUCUAUGAUGAUGUGCUCUUGUUAAACCUGAGCUGACUUACCAGAGGGACGUAUGAGAUGGAGCACUGUAUCCACAUUUCUGUGUGACAUAAUCAUGAGCUUUCCUUCUCUCUGGCAGAGCAACCUGUCUGUAGAGCCCCGGUACAGCAGGGUGCUGGCCUGAAACCAAUGUUCUGUGGGACUGGAGCCAGAAACAGGAUCAGGGUUGCAGGAAGAACCCUGAAAAGAAAGGCUCUUCUUUCAGAAAGUGGAGCUCCAUGAGCUGUCGGCAUCCCAGGGGCAGAGCAGAGGCAGAUUUUGGCUGUGAAGUUGACCCAGCCAAUGCCACGCAGGACAAGGUGGCAUUGAGAAGGUCCACAGCAGCAGCAUGUGUGCUGGAGGGGAACCACAAGCCGUGAAGGAUAGGGCAAAAGUGCCCGCUUCAUAAAUACACAUAAACAAACAAAACAGCUCACCAGCAGACAAAAUUCAGUGCUUCAGUGACCAUGGUUUCUCCUCUGCGAAGGCCCUCCUGUUGCCUUAGAAAAUUAUCAUCCCGUUUACUUAAUUAGGCUGACUCCAAGCUUUAGGCAUCGGCCUGCCAAGAUGAUGCACACAGCUCUUGUCUAUUUGCCCUCAGCAAGCUUGCCUGCCUUGCCCUCUUCUGUGCUCUGAAACCCAGAAAUUCCACACAGAUGGUAUUUUUUAAGGUGUUUCUAAUAGCAAUGAUUUGGAAGGGAAUGCUGAGCCUUCUUGAAAUAUGGAGGAGACAUUGACGAGACCACUGUGUUUUCUGUUUGCGUGUGAAUGACAGAUGCUAUUCACAUCAAACAGAGGAUGCAUAAAGUCAUGGUGAUUGUAAAGACGUGGUGGGCAUAUUUCUGCACUGCAAAACUCAGGAACACGGCCUGCCAGGUAGUUCAUCCCCACGUGCUGGAGGAGCCGUGCCCUUUGGUUGUUCAUCAUCAAUAGGACUGAAAGCCUCUUGGAAAAAAAAGAGAGUCAAUGACCUCUAUAGCAUCACGUCAAACUUCCAGACUGCUGAUCAUCACAGUGUCAGUCCUUCAUUUUAGAGAAGUUUCUCUUUUACAGUACUAGCGCGGGGUUCUGGUGGCAGCAUUUGGAGAAGGAAUGGUGAGCUAAAGUGUGAAAAGUGAAUGCAAAAGGCUGUGGAAAGAUGUAUCCACCUGGUUUUACUGAAGAAAACAAUACAGCUCCCCAAGUGCUGGUGAAGCCCUUUCGUUGCUUUUUGCGUGGUUCAGCUCCUGCUUCCCUCUGAUUUCGUUAGUGUUUGGCCGAAUCCCAAUUCCUUUUGAAGAUGAUUAAUUGCAGAACAGCUUAUCCUUAUUAGUGGUACUCAGACCCAACUGAAUUUACCAAAGAAGUAAUUACCAGGGUCUUGGUGAUGGGUUUCCUAUUGAAAACGCUUGGGUUGACUGCAGGAGGAGCUGGGAACCAGGGUUUCCCAUGGCUUUGGACAGCUGGGAAACACAUUUCAGCCACAAAAGCACUCAGGGACCUCUAGCCCUCGCAUCCACAUCCAAUGUCCUGUCCCCACCAUCACUGGCCCUGUGCCGAGGAUCACGUGGCACCGUGAUGGGAUCACACGUUUACCAAAGCCACUCUUGUCACCGUAUGGGAACACAAUGUUUCUCCCUGCCUCUAGAAGCUGAGAAUUGGAAGAGGUCAUGAACAUCAACAAAUAUUGUCCAGAUUUUCUUCAGGUCCCUUUGUUGCUAAGGGAGUUUGACACUGCCAUGAUGAGCACUGCAGGAAUUCAGAAUGCACCAGCAUGAAUUGUAGAAUCAUAUACUGGUUUGGGUUGGAGGGGACCUUUGAGAUCAUGUAGUUCCAAUCCUCCUGCUAUAGGCAGGGACACCUCCUCUAGACCAAGUUGCUCAAAGCCCCAUCCAGCCUGGCCUUGAAUGCUUCCGGGGAGGGGGCAUCCACAGCCUCGCUGGGCAACCUGUUCCAGUGUCUCACUACCCUCACAAUAAAGAAUUUCUUUCUGAUAUCUAGUCUAGAUCUACCCUCUUCUGCUUUAAAGCCAUUUCCCCUCGUGCUUUUGAAGGAGAAGCAUUUUUAUGGGUAACCACACACUUUACUUUAGGAAGUAUUUACACAGCUGUGACCUUUUUGAACGAUAAGCUCCCCUGGUGUUUGGGAGCAGUGUCAUCUUCAAAUGGCAUGGCUAGACCUAGAGGUUGCCUGCUUGAGGGCCCUGCCCACCCGUGAUCUUCUCCCCCUCUCCCUCUACCUCUUAAGUUCUUUACAAGGAGAGUGGUGAGGUGCUGGAACGGGCUGCCCAGAGAGGCUGUGGAUGCCCCGUCCCUGGAGGUGUUCAAGGCCACGUUGGAUGGGGCCCUGGGCAACCUGGUCUAGUAAAUGGGGAGGUUGGUGGCCCUGCUAGCAGGGGGGUUGGAGAUUCAUGAUCCUUGAGGUCCCUUCCAACCCAGGCCAUUCUGUGAUUCUGUGAUUCUGUGUGAUUCUGUGAUACCUGGAGUAUCCCACCCCCCUAUGCCCCUGUCUCACCCCAGCUCCUCUCCUUGUCCCGGCCACUCCCAGCCCUCACUGCUUACCACCUCCCUUCCUCUUCUACAGAUCCACUGCUGAAAAAGAGACAUAAAUCCAAAAACAUCACUGGUGCCUCAUGUGCAAACACUUUAACAUUAAGCUGACACAGUCCUGUUGUUCA